AUUAACAUGUAAUGGUCUUGGGAUCAGGCAUUCAAUCUGGUAAUUGAAAACUGCUAUGCAUUUUUAACGCAGCGGCUGUUAUUCAUACAUGGCAGCACUAUUAAAUUUGCCAAGUCUCCAUUUGCUAUUAGCAGCAUAUUGAGAAUGGAAUGAAGAGUUUGAUGCGUUUUGUAAACAUAGUAGACAUUGAUAGUUUAAUAUUAGUGUUACAUCUUAUAUUUGCCAGCUUAUCUCUUUUAAGGGAUGUGAUCUUGCUGCUAUUUUGGUGAUAUUUAAUAGCCUCUUAUUAGUUUGGUUGUUGGAGUGAUUGUUUGUUUUAUUAACAAGCAAAACAGCUGUUAGAGAAUAAUUGGGGUUUGA
Molecule: unclassified non-coding RNA, 360 nt
Filed under: Hevea brasiliensis (rubber tree)
Lineage: Eukaryota; Viridiplantae; Streptophyta; Magnoliopsida; Malpighiales; Euphorbiaceae
Source: RNAcentral